AUAUGGCUCAGGAUUAACGCUGGCGGCGUGCCUAAUACAUGCAAGUCGGAUGGUAGCAAUACCAUGGCGAACGGGUGAGUAACACGUAGGUAACCUGUCAUUAAGACGAGAAUAACCAUUGGAAACGAUGGAUAAUGCUGGAUAGGAUAUUUAAGGGCAUCCUUAGAUAUUUAAAGAUUUAUCACUUAAUGAGGGGCCUGCGGCGCAUUAAGCUAGUUGGAAGGUAAAAGCUUACCAAGGCGAUGAUGCGUAGCCGGACUGAGAGGUUGAACGGCCACAAUGGAACUGAGAACGGUCCAUACUCCUACGGGAGGCAGCAGUAGGGAAUUUUCGGCAAUGGGCGGAAGCCUGACCGAGCCAACGCCGCGUGAUCGAAUGAAGUAUUUCGGUAUGUAAAGAUCUUUUAUUAGGGAAGAAAAGACAGAUUGACGGUACCUAAUGAAUAAGCUCCGGCUAACUACGUGCCAGCCGCGGC
Molecule: ribosomal RNA, 475 nt
Filed under: uncultured bacterium
Lineage: Bacteria
Description: bacterial SSU rRNA
Rfam family: Bacterial small subunit ribosomal RNA
Source: RNAcentral